GAUGAACGCUGGCGGCGUGCCUGACACAUGCAAGUCGAGCGGCAGCGAGGGGUGCUUGCACCCUGUCGGCGAGCGGCGGACGGCUGAGUAACGCGUGGGAACGUGCCCCAAAGUGAGGAAUAACUUCCCGAAAGGGUAGCUAAUACCGCAUAUUAUCUUCGGAUCAAAGGAUUUAUCCGCUUUGGGAGCGGCUCGCGUCGGAUUAGGUAGUUGGUGAGGUAAUGGCUCCCCAAGCCGACGAUCCGUAGCUGGUCAGAGAGGAUGACCAGCCAGACUGGAACUGAGACACGGUACAGACUCCUACGGGAGGCAGCAGUGAGGAAUCUUCCACAAUGGGCGAAAGCCUGAUGGAGCAACGCCGCGUGCAGGACGAAGGCCUUCGGGUUGUAAACUGCUUUUAUAAGUGAGGAAUAUGACGGUAACUUAUGAAUAAGGAUCGGCUAACUACGUG
Molecule: ribosomal RNA, 451 nt
Filed under: uncultured bacterium
Lineage: Bacteria
Description: partial 16S ribosomal RNA
Rfam family: Bacterial small subunit ribosomal RNA
Source: RNAcentral